RNAcentral lists this transfer RNA (89 nucleotides) under Moelleriella libera RCEF 2490. RNAcentral describes it as "Aschersonia aleyrodis RCEF 2490 tRNA". It matches the Rfam family "tRNA". Rfam says of the family: Transfer RNA (tRNA) molecules are approximately 80 nucleotides in length. Their secondary structure includes four short double-helical elements and three loops (D, anti-codon, and T loops). Further hydrogen bonds mediate the characteristic L-shaped molecular structure. tRNAs have two regions of fundamental functional importance: the anti-codon, which is responsible for specific mRNA codon recognition, and the 3' end, to which the tRNAs corresponding amino acid is attached (by aminoacyl-tRNA synthetases). tRNAs cope with the degeneracy of the genetic code in two manners: having more than one tRNA (with a specific anti-codon) for a particular amino acid; and 'wobble' base-pairing, i.e. permitting non-standard base-pairing at the 3rd anti-codon position. The record is from Rfam by way of RNAcentral. Lineage: Eukaryota; Fungi; Ascomycota; Sordariomycetes; Hypocreales; Clavicipitaceae.
GUCUGCAUAGUGUAGCGGUUAUCACGUUUGUCUUACAUCUUGCAAUGUCAGGACACAAAAGGUCCCAGGUUCGAUCCCUGGUGCAGACA